Molecule: transfer RNA, 76 nt
Filed under: Sutterella sp.
Lineage: Bacteria; Pseudomonadati; Pseudomonadota; Betaproteobacteria; Burkholderiales; Sutterellaceae
Also listed under: 1 other name
Description: tRNA-Lys
Rfam family: tRNA
About the family: Transfer RNA (tRNA) molecules are approximately 80 nucleotides in length.
Source: RNAcentral
GGGGGCAUAGCUCAGUUGGUAGAGCAGCGGACUCUUAAUCCGUUUGUCCAGAGUUCGAGUCUCUGUGCCCCUACCA